GAUGAACGCUGGCGGCGUGCCUAAUACAUGCAAGUCGAGCGAACAGACGAGGAGCUUGCUCCUUCGACGUUAGCGGCGGACGGGUGAGUAACACGUAGGUAACCUACCUAUAAGACUGGGAUAACUUCGGGAAACCGGAGCUAAUACCGGAUAAUAUUUCGAACCGCAUGGUUCGAUAGUGAAAGAUGGCUUUGCUAUCACUUAUCGAUGGACCUGCGCCGUAUUAGCUAGUUGGUAAGGUAACGGCUUACCAAGGCAACGAUACGUAGCCGACCUGAGAGGGUGAUCGGCCACACUGGAACUGAGACACGGUCCAGACUCCUACGGGAGGCAGCAGUAGGGAAUCUUCCGCAAUGGGCGAAAGCCUGACGGAGCAACGCCGCGUGAGUGAUGAAGGUCUUCGGAUCGUAAAACUCUGUUAUUAGGGAAGAACAAACGUGUAAGUAACUGUGCACGUCUUGACGGUACCUAAUCAGAAAGCCACGGCUAACUACGUG
This 497-nucleotide ribosomal RNA is filed under the name uncultured bacterium. Its description in RNAcentral is "partial 16S ribosomal RNA". It matches the Rfam family "Bacterial small subunit ribosomal RNA", at positions 28 to 507 of the family's 1533-position model. The record is from RNAcentral.